This is a long non-coding RNA of Daphnia magna, 1037 nucleotides long. RefSeq lists it as uncharacterized. The transcript has 2 exons. The record is from RefSeq and is a predicted model, not a curated record. NCBI's taxonomy places the organism in Eukaryota, Metazoa, Arthropoda, Branchiopoda, Diplostraca, Daphniidae.
AUAGGAUCGAGUAUAGGGCUGUUCGACAUCUUUUUUGACAUUUGUUGUCAUCGCGGCAACGCAGCAGUCGUUGGUAGAUUUUAUCUGCUAUGACUGUUUUUUUGUAUUGUGCGAAAUGUGAAUAAAUUUGAAUGUUACAGUCGAACAAUUAGUGUUUAGUGUCGUUAUUUUCUUUUUUUAAAAUCUGAUUACUACUAUACAGUUAAAACUAAAUUAAACUUUUACUUUUCUACUGAAAAGAGCACAAUUGACUACCGAUCACAAUUCUGUCGUACCAGAUGAAAUCUACUAACGACUGCUGCGUUGCCGUGAUUGAUACAAAUGUGAAAAAAGAUGUCGAACAGCCCUAUAUCUCUAGAGCGCAAAAACUACAAAAAACGUCUUGUUGCAAAAUUUUUUUGUUUAUCAAAAUUAUCUGAAUUAUUUUACAGAAAUGGACAGAGUUGAAACGAGCUUUACGAGAGCUUGAGCUUUAGCUCAAAAGCUCACUCAUUUUGUGAGCUUUGAGCUUGAGCUUCGCUCUUUUUGAAAAAGUGUGAGCUUGAGCUUGAGCUUUUGCCUCAUGAGCGGAAGCUCACGCUUGUGGCGCCAUCUAGCGGCCAAAAUUGAAAGUGGUUGCCGAAAUGAGACAAAUCUCCGCGUUUGGAGGUGGAAAGCUGUCUGUGCUACUUGCUAAUAGCCUAGCCUAUACUAGUUGCUUAUGCUUACAGUUACAGCUUAGUGAUUGAACUGAACAAAUAAAAACAUAAACUUGAAAUCUGAAACUGAAAGUCUUAAACUCUUUAGAGAGUAGCGACUAAUGAGAAAUGGCGUCAAAAAAGCGAACAGCUUCUACAAGUUUACAAAGUCAAAGUCAUGUGGGUGCUGUAGGUGGUGAUCAAGUUGAUUGUGAAACUGUAAAUGUAGAGAAUAAUGAUUCUGGCAGCGAUGGGCAUGAUUCUGGCAGAUUUGUCAUUCUCAUUCAAUGUUAGACCAUUGAGCAUUGACCGCUUUCUCAUGAAAGCAAAUCUGAAAAAAAUACACUGUUUUGAUUGUCA